UGAACGCUGGCGGCGUGCUUAACACAUGCAAGUCGUACGAGAACUCUUUAGCUUGCUAAAGAUAGUAAAGUGGCGCACGGGUGAGUAACGCGUGGGUAAUCUACCUCCGAAUUGGGGAUAACAUUGCGAAAGCGAUGCUAAUACCGGAUAAUAUCUCAAAAACUCCGGUUUUAUAGAUCAAAGGUGGCCUCUACAUGUAAGCUACUGUUUGGAGAUGAGCCCGCGUACCAUUAGCUUGUUGGUAGGGUAAAGGCCUACCAAGGCUUCGAUGGUUAGCUGGUCUGAGAGGAUGAUCAGCCACACUGGAACUGACACACGGUCCAGACUCCUACGGGAGGCAGCAGUGGGGAAUUUUGCGCAAUGGGGGAAACCCUGACGCAGCAACGCCGCGUGAGUGAUGAAGGCUUUCGGGUCGUAAAGCUCUGUCAAGUGGGAAGAACAUGGUCGAUGCUAAUAUCAUCGAUCACUGACGGUACCACUAAAGGAAGCACCGGCUAACUCC
Molecule: ribosomal RNA, 502 nt
Filed under: uncultured bacterium
Lineage: Bacteria
Description: bacterial SSU rRNA
Rfam family: Bacterial small subunit ribosomal RNA
Source: RNAcentral